AUUUUCGGAUAAUCGCAUGGUUGCAAGUCUUCCAUGAGGAAAGUCCAUGCUAGCACUGGCUGUGAUGCCAGUAGUGUUUGUGCUAGGCGAAUCAAUAAGCCUAGGGACUUGAUUUUCAAGUUACGGCGAGCGAACUGGCUAAGUCUUCGGAUAGGUUUUAGUAGCUCUGAAAGU
RNAcentral lists this RNase P RNA (174 nucleotides) under Lactobacillus delbrueckii subsp. bulgaricus. RNAcentral's name for it is "partial RNase P RNA component class B". It matches the Rfam family "Bacterial RNase P class B", at positions 1 to 172 of the family's 365-position model. Rfam says of the family: Ribonuclease P (RNase P) is a ubiquitous endoribonuclease, found in archaea, bacteria and eukarya as well as chloroplasts and mitochondria. Its best characterised activity is the generation of mature 5'-ends of tRNAs by cleaving the 5'-leader elements of precursor-tRNAs. Lineage: Bacteria; Bacillati; Bacillota; Bacilli; Lactobacillales; Lactobacillaceae. The record is from RNAcentral.